UGGAUGGAGGGAAAAAAAAGGGUUAUCGGCGGUCUCGGAUUCGCUUGGUGCAGGUCGGGAACUGAUUGGCUGACACCGCCACGUGGAUUUUCACGGUUGGCUUGUGAGCAGGGAUCGGAUCCUGCCUUCCAUCAACUGAAUCGGAGCCCGAGGUGAAAAUACAAAAGUUUCCAACUUUCAGAUCUGACAUUAAACCUUGUUUAGUUUUGAAGCAGGGUACUCGAUUGGCUAAUUCGGUUAGAUGUGUGAUGCCCACUCUGUUUCUAAAGGCUGUGGAUUUUGAUGUAAAAACUCUCUAAAUCCCAUAAAUGCUUUAUGGGGUUUUUCAGAAUUUCUAGGGUCUUACAUUGGCUUAGGUUCAGUGAGAUCAAUUCAACUCCUUUUCACAGGUGAGUGUUUCAUGAGUUUACCUUGAACAUUUUAAUGGACUUUCAGCUUUUCUUUUUGUUGUGUAUGGAUUGGUAUUUUGAUCAUUAUGACUGUUGUUGAUGAAUAUAUGGCUGAGAGCAUCUGUUUCUGUA
Molecule: long non-coding RNA, 521 nt
Organism: Brassica oleracea var. oleracea
Lineage: Eukaryota; Viridiplantae; Streptophyta; Magnoliopsida; Brassicales; Brassicaceae
Exons: 2
Source: RefSeq, a predicted model, not a curated record